CCUGAAGUAUCUAGUACAUUAACAUGCAUUUUGACAUCAUUGUUGUUGCCAAUAUCAUGUAUGUAUGUAUGUGUUAUCAUUUCAUCUGAUAUGUUUGAAAUUCGUAGCUGAUCAAUUUUAUCUAGAUGAUGCUUGGAUGUUGCGAAGUUUCAGAAGUUACCCAGAUAGACUUGUGCAUCAUCUCUUUUCGGGUAAAAAAUGAUUUCCGGAAGCUGUUAAGCUUACAAUUUCUGAGAUUUCUUUUCUUGUAUAUAUGUUUCUGAUCUUUUUCUUGCACUUCGUUUUUACUUUGGUUCAACUGUUUAUGUGAUUGGUCUUGUUUAAUUGUUUCGAGCAUGAUACUCGUUUUGUUUGUAAUAUGUUGAAUGAUGAAUUGUGUUGUGAUGGAUGUGUUAUUCAGGUGUAUGACAACUCUUGGGAGCAAAUGCGUUGAAUGGUUGUGCUGAAUGCAGACUAGUUAUCUUCUUUGAUGAAUGGCUUGCAAAUUUACUGGAUACUUCUCUGCUUCUGCUCUGCAAUGCAGUUUGGUGAGUUUUAGCUGUUGGGAAUUAGUGAAAGUAGUCAAGAACUAUGAAACUUAUGAAAAAGCUCCAUAAUUGCAAGAGCUGUACAUUUGCCUUUGUGACUAUAUUGAAGCUUUUUCUCCAUUA
Molecule: long non-coding RNA, 650 nt
Filed under: Phoenix dactylifera (date palm)
Lineage: Eukaryota; Viridiplantae; Streptophyta; Magnoliopsida; Arecales; Arecaceae
Description: long non-coding RNA (PDAC_LNC016214)
Source: RNAcentral